Molecule: long non-coding RNA, 795 nt
Filed under: Homo sapiens (human)
Lineage: Eukaryota; Metazoa; Chordata; Mammalia; Primates; Hominidae
Description: HSALNT0238714
Source: RNAcentral
GUUCCACUUUUCCAAACCAAAACGAAGUUGUUGAUCUGACUUUCUGAGAAGUCAGGACACAGAGAGAUAACAGGCAAAUCCCCAACAGGCCAGGUUUAGCCAGCAUGAUAGGCAGUCCCUCCCCUCUGCUUUAAUGUUUACAAGGAAAGUAACUUUGCAACCAAUCUGUGUUUUGUUCUCUGUUUCUGCUUCAGCCUUUUCUAUCCAUAAAGCCCAUCUCCCCAUCUCUGAUCGGAGGAACGCUCAGUCUGUUUUAUGGAAUGAACUGUUGCCUGAUUCUAGAAUAGCAAAUAAAGCCAAUUAGGAUCUUUAAACUAAAUCUGUUGUACUUUUGUCCUUUGACAGUUCCAUGAUGGAAAAUCUAAUGGCCACUUUCCAUUUACCACGUCAAAGGAACAGUCCAGGCUUCCCUUCAUUUCCACAAUGACCCCAACUGUUUUGCCACUCGCUCCUUGAAGAACAUCUGGAUUUGUUUCUGGCUUUUGGCUAUGAGGAAUAAGCCUGCUGAGAACAUUCAGCUCUAGGAUUUUGUGUGAAUGGACUGAAUUUACAGCUUACCAAGCCAGGCCAUUGCACUUUUGGACAACUCUACUAAAUGGAUUUUCCUCAUGCCAUCGCAUAACUGCUACCUGCCACCAGAGCCUUAGAAAUACAUGGCUUUCCAUCAAGCACUCAUGGAACAUGUCACUGUGGGCACUUCUAGGGGGGAUUCAUGAUGGAUCCUCCAAGAUCAACUAAAUAUAAAACAAACUCCCAGGUAACAGAACCAUUUCAGCUAUUAAAUAAAAUCAUCUG